UACGUAGGUGGCAAGCGUUGUCCGGAAUUAUUGGGCGUAAAGCGCGCGCAGGCGGUUCCUUAAGUCUGAUGUGAAAGCCCCCGGCUCAACCGGGGAGGGUCAUUGGAAACUGGGGAACUUGAGUGCAGAAGAGGAGAGCGGAAUUCCACGUGUAGCGGUGAAAUGCGUAGAGAUGUGGAGGAACACCAGUGGCGAAGGCGGCUCUCUGGUCUGUAACUGACGCUGAGGCGCGAAAGCGUGGGGAGCGAACAGGAUUAGAACCUACCGUAGUACCGUCCG
RNAcentral lists this ribosomal RNA (279 nucleotides) under uncultured bacterium. RNAcentral describes it as "partial 16S ribosomal RNA". It matches the Rfam family "Bacterial small subunit ribosomal RNA", at positions 524 to 801 of the family's 1533-position model. The record is from RNAcentral.